This 449-nucleotide ribosomal RNA is filed under the name uncultured bacterium. Its description in RNAcentral is "partial 16S ribosomal RNA". It matches the Rfam family "Bacterial small subunit ribosomal RNA", at positions 354 to 796 of the family's 1533-position model. The record is from RNAcentral.
GUCGAGAAUCUUUCACAAUGGGGGCAACCCUGAUGGAGCGACGCCGCGUGGAGGAUAAGGUCUUCGGAUUGUAAACUCCUGUCAUGCGUGAACAAGGUUGCUUGGUUAAUACCUGGGCAAAUUGAUGGUAACGCAAGAGGAAGAGACGGCUAACUCUGUGCCAGCAGCCGCGGUAAUACAGAGGUCUCAAGCGUUGUUCGGAAUCACUGGGCGUAAAGGGUGCGUAGGUGGCGUGGUAAGUCAGAUGUGAAAGCACGGUGCUCAACCUCGGAACUUCAUCCGAUACUGCCAUGCUAGAGUACUGGAGAGGUGACUAGAAUUCUCGGUGUAGCAGUGAAAUGCGUAGAUAUCGAGAGGAAUACCAAAGGCGUAGGCAGGUCACUGGACAGUUACUGACACUGAGGCACGAAGGCCAGGGGAGCGAACGGGAUUAGAAACCCCAGUAGUCC